Molecule: unclassified non-coding RNA, 269 nt
Filed under: plant metagenome
Description: partial contains small subunit ribosomal RNA, internal transcribed spacer 1, and 5.8S ribosomal RNA
Source: RNAcentral
UUUCCGUAGGUGAACCUGCGGAAGGAUCAUUAAUGAGUUGUCAUGGGGUUCGAUGCUGGCAGCCAAUUUUUGGAUGCAUGUGCUUGCCCUAACAAUCAUCUUCCAAACACCUGUGCACAUUUUUGAGGGAGUCUUGAGUUGGUUGCCGCUCUUGGGUGAUUUUCUCACAUUCCCUUAAAUCAUUAUACGCUAUUAACAAUGUUGAACGUGCUCUGUGCCGCAAGGCUAUUAAUAUAAUACAACUUUUAACAACGGAUCUCUUGGUUCUC